CACAAGGGGCCACAGUGAGCACAGAUGGGCCCUGGAGAGUCAGUCCAACAACUUUUCACUCUGAUGAAAUACAUUAGUUAAAAAUAUAAACCAGACAGUUUUCCAUGUGAGGAUGAACAGAAAGAAAACCUGAUAAAUGUGACUCUAGUAGUUUGUCACAUCAAGUGAUUUCAAGUUUUCAGGAAACUUCCAAGUGAGAAGAGCAGCCAUCUCAGUGCCUGAGGCAGCCUCCAGAUCAUGGCAAGAAGCUGAAAUGGGCUGGAAGAUUGAAACUGAUCUUCAGAGAGACCCAGAGCUCCCAGGGUGUCACUCGGGGGUUAUUCUGCAACACCACAACUUAGCGUGCCUCAAACACAUGUAACGAGAGACAAACCCAGGCUACUCAAAGGCCAGCACGGAGACUAAAGCAAGUGUUAGCACUGGAGCACACCUGAAAAGACUAAGAAUAGCUGCAUUUCUAGAGUGCCUUUCAUGUGAGGAAGUCAGAAUGACUGAGAGCGAGAUACGAUCCCUACACGGGAAGCAAAAGACAGUGCCUUUUCUCUGCUACUACACCAAAUCUUAUCCAAAGGCAAGCAGUUCCAACCCAGUGAAACCAAGAUUUGCUC
This is a long non-coding RNA of Passer domesticus (house sparrow), 608 nucleotides long. RefSeq lists it as uncharacterized. NCBI's taxonomy places the organism in Eukaryota, Metazoa, Chordata, Aves, Passeriformes, Passeridae. The record is from RefSeq and is a predicted model, not a curated record. The transcript has 3 exons.